CCUAACCUGCGCAGCUUCUUCAUCUUCUUCCUCAUUUUCUCUUCUUCUUCCCCAACAAAUAUUAAGCUCGUUUAAUUACUUUUGAUUUUUUGGGAUUUUCACAUAUAUACUGCUAUACUUUGAUCUGUGCAGUCUAUUGAACUUCUAGGUGUGAAAUUACGCAUGCUUGGAGCUCACCAACUUCAAAAUGCCGUAACUGCUACAUGUGCAGCCUUGUGCCUUAAUAAGCUAGGCAAGGACUCUUCUUCCCCAACAAACAUUAAGCUCGUUUAAUUACUUUUGAUUUUUCGGGAUUUUCACGUAUAUACUGCUAUACUUUGAUCUGUGCAGUCGAUUGAACUGCUAGGUGUGAAAUUACGCAUGCUUGGAGCUCACCAACUUCAAAAUGCCGUAACUGCUACAUGU
RNAcentral lists this long non-coding RNA (405 nucleotides) under Nicotiana benthamiana. RNAcentral describes it as "long non-coding RNA (NBEN_LNC039183)". Lineage: Eukaryota; Viridiplantae; Streptophyta; Magnoliopsida; Solanales; Solanaceae. The record is from RNAcentral.